UCAAACUUGGUCAUUUAGAGGAAGUAAAAGUCGUAACAAGGUUUCCGUAGGUGAACCUGCGGAAGGAUCAUUAUCGAGUUUUCGGGGGGAGGCCCGGUUCUGGGGCUCCCCCCUCUGAAACUUUUUUUUUCUCACACACCUCUGUGCACCAUGAUGAGAUUGUGUGGGGCUUUUAAAGACCCCUCGCGAUCUGAUUGCAAACCUUCCAUAAAAGCGAGAAAGUUUGAAUCGUAAAAAGCAUAACUUUCAACAACGGAUCUCUUGGUUCUCGCAUCGAUGAAGAACGCAGC
This 290-nucleotide unclassified non-coding RNA is filed under the name uncultured fungus. RNAcentral's name for it is "partial contains small subunit ribosomal RNA, internal transcribed spacer 1, and 5.8S ribosomal RNA". The stretch from base 1 to 73 matches the Rfam family "Eukaryotic small subunit ribosomal RNA", at positions 1759 to 1831 of the family's 1831-position model. The record is from RNAcentral. Lineage: Eukaryota; Fungi.